AUCUGGCUCAGGAUGAACGCUAGCGACAGGCCUAACACAUGUAAGUCGAGGGGCAGCACAAGGAGCAAUCUGAGGUGGUGACCGGCGCACGGGUGAGUAACACGUAUGCAACCUGCCUGUAAGCGGGGAAUAACCCGUUGAAAGACGGACUAAUACCGCAUAAUACUAAAUUACUGCAUGGUAAUUUAUUUAAACAUUUAUGGCUUACAGAUGGGCAUGCGCAUGAUUAGCUAGUUGGAGAGGUAACGGCUCCCCAAGGCAACGAUCAUUAGGGGUUCUGAGAGGAAGGUCCCCCACACUGGUACUGAGACACGGACCAGACUCCUACGGGAGGCAGCAGUGAGGAAUAUUGGUCAAUGGACGAGAGUCUGAACCAGCCAAGUCGCGUGCAGGAAGAAAUGUCCUAUGGAUUGUAAACUGCUUUUGCAGGGGAAUAAAGUGCAUCACGUGUGAUGUUUUGUAUGUACUCUGCGAAUAAGGAUCGGCUAACUCCGUGCCAGCCGCCGC
RNAcentral lists this ribosomal RNA (507 nucleotides) under uncultured bacterium. RNAcentral's name for it is "bacterial SSU rRNA". It matches the Rfam family "Bacterial small subunit ribosomal RNA", at positions 17 to 518 of the family's 1533-position model. The record is from RNAcentral.